AUGGAUACAACUAACGAAAUAAAGGGCGAUUAUGCUCCCAUCAGAGAUCCAGAGCACCCACAAUUAGGAAGAUUUGACAAGCCACUUCCAUGUUGUGGCUGCGGUAUUGGAUGGUUCUCUUUUCUGCUAGGAUUUGUAUUCCCAUUGAUGUGGUAUUAUGCUACAAUUCUCUACUUUGGAAAUUACUAUCAUAAGGAUCCAAGAGAACGUGCUGGACUCGCUGCUUCUGCAAUCGCUGCUCUGAUCUACACAAUUACUAUGGUGAUAACAGUAAUGGUUAUCAUCUUGUAA
This is a non-coding RNA of Vicia faba (fava bean), 291 nucleotides long. NCBI's taxonomy places the organism in Eukaryota, Viridiplantae, Streptophyta, Magnoliopsida, Fabales, Fabaceae. The record is from the annotation of a GenBank genome assembly.